Molecule: ribosomal RNA, 1373 nt
Filed under: uncultured Gammaproteobacteria bacterium
Lineage: Bacteria; Pseudomonadati; Pseudomonadota; Gammaproteobacteria
Description: uncultured gamma proteobacterium 16S ribosomal RNA
Rfam family: Bacterial small subunit ribosomal RNA
Source: RNAcentral
UGAACGCUGGCGGCAGGCCUAACACAUGCAAGUCGAACGGUAACAGGAAGAAGCUUGCUUCUUUGCUGACGAGUGGCGGACGGGUGAGUAAUGUCUGGGAAACUGCCUGAUGGAGGGGGAUAACUACUGGAAACGGUAGCUAAUACCGCAUAACGUCGCAAGACCAAAGAGGGGGACCUUAGGGCCUCUUGCCAUCGGAUGUGCCCAGAUGGGAUUAGCUAGUAGGUGGGGUAAAGGCUCACCUAGGCGACGAUCCCUAGCUGGUCUGAGAGGAUGACCAGCCACACUGGAACUGAGACACGGUCCAGACUCCUACGGGAGGUAGCAGUGGGGAAUAUUGCACAAUGGGCGCAAGCCUGAUGCAGCCAUGCCGCGUGUAUGAAGAAGGCCUUCGGGUUGUAAAGUACUUUCAGCGGGGAGGAAGGUGUUGUGGUUAAUAACCACAGCAAUUGACGUUACCCGCAGAAGAAGCACCGGCUAACUCCGUGCCAGCAGCCGCGGUAAUACGGAGGGUGCAAGCGUUAAUCGGAAUUACUGGGCGUAAAGCGCACGCAGGCGGUCUGUCAAGUCGGAUGUGAAAUCCCCGGGCUCAACCUGGGAACUGCAUUCGAAACUGGCAGGCUUGAGUCUCGUAGAGGGGGGUAGAAUUCCAGGUGUAGCGGUGAAAUGCGUAGAGAUCUGGAGGAAUACCGGUGGCGAAGGCGGCCCCCUGGACGAAGACUGACGCUCAGGUGCGAAAGCGUGGGGGAGCAAACAGGAUUAGAUACCCUGGUAGUCCACGCCGUAAACGAUGUCUAUUUGGAGGUUGUGCCCUUGAGGUGUGGCUUCCGGAGCUAACGCGUUAAAUAGACCGCCUGGGGAGUACGGCCGCAAGGUUAAAACUCAAAUGAAUUGACGGGGGCCCGCACAAGCGGUGGAGCAUGUGGUUUAAUUCGAUGCAACGCGAAGAACCUUACCUGGUCUUGACAUCCACAGAACUUUCCAGAGAUGGAGGGGUGCCUUCGGGAACUGUGAGACAGGUGCUGCAUGGCUGUCGUCAGCUCGUGUUGUGAAAUGUUGGGUUAAGUCCCGCAACGAGCGCAACCCUUAUCCUUUGUUGCCAGCGGUUAGGCCGGGAACUCAAAGGAGACUGCCAGUGAUAAACUGGAGGAAGGUGGGGAUGACGUCAAGUCAUCAUGGCCCUUACGACCAGGGCUACACACGUGCUACAAUGGCGCAUACAAAGAGAAGCGAACUCGCGAGAGCAAGCGGACCUCAUAAAGUGCGUCGUAGUCCGGACUGGAGUCUGCAACUCGACUCCAUGAAGUCGGAAUCGCUAGUAAUCGUGGAUCAGAAUGCCACGGUGAAUACGUUCCCGGGCCUUGUACACACCG